AUUGAACGCUGGCGGCAUGCUUUACACAUGCAAGUCGAACGGCAGCGCGGGCUUCGGCCUGGCGGCGAGUGGCGAACGGGUGAGUAAUGCAUCGGAACGUGCCCAGUCGUGGGGGAUAGCCCGGCGAAAGCCGGAUUAAUACCCCAUACGACCUGAUGGUGAAAGCGGGGGACCGCAAGGCCUCUCGCCAUUGGAGUGGCCGAGGACGGAGUAGCUAGUUGGUGGGGUAAAGGCUUACCAAGGCGACGAUCCGAAGCUGGUCUGAGAGGACGACCAGCCACACGGGGACUGAGAAACGGCACAGACUCCGACGGGAGGCAGCAGUGGGGAAUUUUGGACAAUGGGGGCAAGCCUGAUCCAGCCAUGCCGCGUGCGGGAAGAAGGCCUUCGGGUUGUAAACCGCUUUUGUUCGGAAAGAAAUAAAGUGGGCUAAUACCCCGGGGGGAUGACGGUACCGGAAGAAUAAGCACCGGCUAACUACGUG
RNAcentral lists this ribosomal RNA (484 nucleotides) under uncultured bacterium. RNAcentral's name for it is "partial 16S ribosomal RNA". It matches the Rfam family "Bacterial small subunit ribosomal RNA", at positions 29 to 507 of the family's 1533-position model. The record is from RNAcentral.